Molecule: long non-coding RNA, 4267 nt
Organism: Carassius gibelio (silver crucian carp)
Lineage: Eukaryota; Metazoa; Chordata; Actinopteri; Cypriniformes; Cyprinidae
Exons: 4
Source: RefSeq, a predicted model, not a curated record
UUGGUGGCGCUACAGGAUGAAAAAAAAACUAAAAUGGCUAUAACUAAGCAACCGCUGAUCCAAUCAACUUGAAAAUUGGUAUGGCCCAAUGUGGCAUAAGUGUCUAUGAGGAAUUUCACUUAUCUUAAAAAACAUGGCCGCCAUUGGCCAAACAACUUUAAGCACCUAUUUGACAAGGUUAAUGGAAGUCGAUCGGAACGAAACUCGGUGGGCAUGUUCGACUCAUUGCCCUAAAGGUCUGUAAGUACUUUGAAAGAAAUUGCCCACAACAUUGUCACCUCCCACAGAACACAACAAAGCGAUUUGAUUACAGCGCCACCUAUUUUCCAAAAAUGAUAAUGCAUCAUUUUACUGGAGUUUUACUGGCUGUUUCAAUUACACUCUUCCAAUAAUUGCUUUUCUUACUCGUUGCAUUUGGUCUGAUGCUCCAUGCCAUGCUUAGCUCCUCGCUGUGGAACUUUUAUUAACGAUUUUCAGCCAUUUCAAUUACAAUCAUGCAAUUAUUAAUUUCAUUAUUCAUUGUUGCAUUUGGUCUGAUGCUACAUAUGCUUAGCUCCUGAUGUUGCCGCUGGAAUGCUUGGCCCCGUGAUUGCUGCUUGCAGCUAUAUUUAUUAUUCUUCUUCUUCCGCCGCAAGUCUAUGGCAGCCCAUAGAACCGAUUGCGGGAAAGUUGUAUAAUUUGGCACACUGAUAGAGGACAGUCCCAACAUUAACUAUAGCAAAUUUGAAGUCUCUAUCUCCUACUCUCUAGCGCCACCACUUGUCCAAACUUUCAAUGUUUGUAUGCUAAUAACUUUUGAACCGUAAGCCAGAAAAUGGAAAUUCUUUUUUCCUCUGAAUCCUUGGCUCAUGCCAAGUCGAAUGAACCCCAAAAUUCAAAAAUCGCAAGGUUUAGUUUUUUCGCUAUUUUCAAUUAUUCGAAAAACCUACUUUUUCGAACUCGUCCUAGACGGUUAGUCCGAUUGCCACGAAAAUUGGCUCAGAUCAUCUUCAGACCAUGCUGGCAAAAAGUUAUGGAAUUCAAGUUGAUUCGUCCAACUGUUGUCGAAUGACACGUAAACAAAUUUGACGAAAAGCACGCAAACAUGCACGUGAGGCUAUAUCCCGGCAACGGUUUGUCAUAUUGAGACCAAACUUGGCGUGUGUUAUAACAAGCAUGAACUGAGACUACCUGCAGUGUUUCGACACAGCGCCACCUAGUGGUCAGGAGAUAUGAAAAAUGCAUAUUUUGGCUUAUAACUACUGAAUGGUUUGGCCAAAAAUCACACAACUGGUCUCUUUAGAUUCAGUGAGUCAUGUCGAGUCAAAUGAUAUCCAAUUUUCCUGUGUCGGCCAUUUUAGGCGUCGGCCAUUUUGAAUUAUGAUUUAAAAUGCUGUAUUUUUUGAACGCAGCAUCGUAUCGUUUCGCAAAUAAUUACAAAAAUAUUCGGCUCCAUGCCCUGAAGGUACUCAAAAAGUUUGGUGGCAGCGCCACCUUGUGGCCAAUAGUUAUAAUGAAAUAUCACAUAAAUGCUAAUAACUUUUGAAUAAAUUAGUCUAUUUAAAUUAAAAUGGUCUCGCUAUAUUCUGUGGGUCAUGCCGAGAGUAUUGAUACCAAUAAUGUGAAAAUUGGCCUUACUUCCUGUCCGCCAUUUUGCUUAAUGUUGAAAACCUACUUUUUCGAACUCCUCCUAGACCGUUAGCCCAAUUUUCACCAAAUUUAACGUGCAUCAUCUUCAGACCAUGCUGGCAAAAAGUUAUGGAUUUUGUGUCGAUAUACGUAACGGUUCUCAUUCAGCGCAUCAACGAAUUUGCUGGAAGGGUGCCAAAAUGCAUUUGAGGCUGUAUCUCUGCAACACUUUGACAUAUUUGCACCAUACUUUGUAUGUGUCAUCGCCACCUCACACUGACCAUGCCACAUAAAUUUGGUAACAGCGCCACCUAUUGGUCAAGAGUAAUAAACCAUUCAUUAACCAUGAGUAAUUACACUUUUUAAAAUGCUAAUAACUUUUUAAUGCAUUAGCCUAUUUGAAGGAAACUGGGCUCAAAAUAUUCCCUGGCUUAUGCCGAUAACAUAGAUACCAAAUAUACCACGGUAAGCUGAACUUCCGGUCCGCCAUUUUGAUUUAUGUUGAAAACAUACUUUUUCGAACUCCUCAUCAACCAUAUGUCCGAUUUUCACCAAAUUCGAAUCAAAUGAUCUUCAGGCUAUACUGAUUCAAAGUUAUGGAUUUUGAGUCGAUAGACAAAACCGUUUUCGCAUACCACAUCGACGAAUUUGAGGCACAAUGAGAAAAUGACACUUGAGGCUGUAUCCCUGGAAUGCUUUGGCAUAUUGACACCAAACUUUGUGUGUGUCAUUGAAAAGUCACACAGAGUACACCAAAUUGAUUUUAUAACAGUGUCACCUAUUGGUCAAGCUUGAUAAACCAAGUAAUCAUGCUACUAGAGGUGGUAUUGGUGUUUUUUUUUUUUGCCAUUUCAAAUACAAUAAUUCCAAAAUUGCUGUUAUUGCUCAUUAAUGUAUUUGGUGUGAUGCUUUAUGCAAUGCUUAGCUACUACAUUUGUCGUUGGAGUGCUUGGCCCCGUAAUUGCUGCUUGCAGCUAUAUUUAGGGGCCAAGCACCGAAGGUGCGAAGGCACCUAUUGUGUUUGUUGGCGUUAUUAUUAGGGGCCAAGCACCGAAGGUGCGAAGGCACCUAUUGUGUUUGUUGGCGUUAUUAUUAUUAUUCUUCCUCUUCUUCCACCCCAAGUCUAUGGUAGCCCAUAGAACCGAUUGCGGGAAAGUUGUAUAAUUUGGCACACUAAUAGAGGACUGUCUGAACAUUAACCGUAGCAAAUUUGAAGUCUCUAACUCAAACUCUCUAGCGCCACCAAUUGUCUAAACUUUCAAAAACUUGAUGCUAAUAACUCUUGAACCGUAAGCCACAAAAUGAAAAUUCUUUUUUCCUGUGAUUCCUUGGCUCAUGCCGAGUCGAAUGGACACCAAAAUUCAAAAAUCGCAAGGCUUAGUUUUUUCGCUAUCGUCAAUUGUUCAUAAAACCUACUUUUUCGAACUCGUCCUAGGCCGUUGCACCGAUUGUCACGAAAAUUUAAUCAGAUAAUCUUCAGACCAUGCUGGCAAAAAGUUAUGGAAUUCAAGUUGAUUUCUCAAACCGUUUCCGAAUAGCUCAUGAACGAAUUCUUCGAAAAGCACGCAAACGUGAACGUGAGGCUAUAUCUCCGCAACGGUUUGGCCUAUUGAGACCAAUCUUGGUGGGUCUUAUAACAACCAUUCCCUGGGACUACCUGCAGUGUUUCGGCGCUGUGCCCCCUAGUGGUCAGGAGAUAUGAAAAAUGCAUGUUUUUGCUCAUAACUUCUGAACGGUUUUGCCAAAAAUCACAAAAGUGGUGUCUUUAGAUUCAGUGCAUCAUUCCGAGUCGAAUGAUACCGAAUUUUCCCAAUUCGGCCAUUUUGGGCGUCGGCCAUUUUGGAUUUAGUUGUAAAUUGCUGUAUCUUAAGAAUGAAGUUCCGUAUCGUUUCGCAAAUAAUUACAAAAAUGUCCGGCUCCAUGCCCUGAAUGUACACAAAAAAAUUGGGGGCAGCGCCACCUUGUGGUCAAUAGUUAUAACGAUUUUUUCGAAAAAUGCUAAUAACUUUUGCAUACAUUAGCCUAUUGUAACAAAGCUGAUGUUGAUAGAUUCCUUGGGUCAUGCCGAGAACACCGAUACCCCAUUUGUCAAUUUUGGCAAAAUUUCCUGUCCGCCAUUUUGAUUCAUGUUGAAAACCUACUUUUUCGAACUCCUCCUAGACCGUUGCUCAGAUUUUCACCAAAUUUGAUUUGGAUCAUCUUCAGACCAUGCUGGCAAAAAGUUAUGGAAUUUGUGUCGAUACACGUAACCGUUUUCAAUUAGCGUACCAACGAAUUUGCUGGAAAGAUGCCAAACUGCAUCUGAGGCUGUAUCUCUGCAAAGGUUGGAGAUAUUUACACAAAACUUAAUAUGUGACAUUGUCACAUCACAUUGACUACGCCACAUCAUUUUGGUCACAGCGCCACCUAUUGGUCAAGAGUAAUAAACCAAUCAAUAACCGCUAAUUAUUACAUUUCCAAUAAUGCUAAUAACUUUUGAUUGCAUUAGCCUAUUAUCAUGAAACAUGUCUCAAAAUGUUCCUUGGGACAUGCCGACAACAUACAUACCAAUUAUGUCAUAUUAAGCAAAACUUCCUGUCCGCCAUUUUGAUUCAUGUUGAAAACCUUUUUUUUUAAACUCAUCCUCAACCGUUUGUCUGAUUUUCACCAAAAUUGAAUC